AUACGUAGGGAGCGAGCGUUGUCCGGAAUUACUGGGUGUAAAGGGAGCGUAGGCGGGAGUGCAAGUCAGAUGUGAAAUACAUGGGCUCAACCCAUGGGCUGCAUUUGAAACUGCAUUUCUUGAGUGAAGUAGAGGUAAGCGGAAUUCCUGGUGUAGCGGUGAAAUGCGUAGAUAUCAGGAGGAACACCGGUGGCGAAGGCGGCUUGCUGGGCUUUUACUGACGCUGAGGCUCGAAAGCGUGGGGAGCAAACAGGAUUAGAUACCCUGGUAGUCCACGCUGUAAACGAUGAUUACUAGGUGUGGGGGGACUGACCCCUUCCGUGCCGCAGUUAACACAAUAAGUAAUCCACCUGGGGAGUACGGCCGCAAGGUUGAAACUCAAAUGAAUUGACGGGG
RNAcentral lists this ribosomal RNA (396 nucleotides) under uncultured bacterium. Its description in RNAcentral is "partial 16S ribosomal RNA". It matches the Rfam family "Bacterial small subunit ribosomal RNA", at positions 523 to 918 of the family's 1533-position model. The record is from RNAcentral.